AAUAUUCAUGCAAUUUCAUACUUAAUUUUUAUAUUAUUUUGUUAUUGAGAUCUACGUUGAUUUUUAAUUGCAAAAUAAUUAUUUGUUAGUUUGAAUGAUUUAAGUCCGUAAUUGCUUAGAUUAUUCUUACAUAAGAACACUUGGGAUAAAAACCAAGGAAGUUGCAUGAUCUACCGUUAUCUCCAUACGUUUGGGUAGCUAGGAUUGGAUCUCUCUAUUUCUUAAUGCAAUUGACAAU
RNAcentral lists this long non-coding RNA (238 nucleotides) under Manihot esculenta (cassava). RNAcentral's name for it is "long non-coding RNA (MESC_LNC004082)". Lineage: Eukaryota; Viridiplantae; Streptophyta; Magnoliopsida; Malpighiales; Euphorbiaceae. The record is from RNAcentral.